Long non-coding RNA from Lathyrus oleraceus (garden pea), 327 nucleotides. RefSeq lists it as uncharacterized. The transcript has 3 exons. Lineage: Eukaryota; Viridiplantae; Streptophyta; Magnoliopsida; Fabales; Fabaceae. The record is from RefSeq and is a predicted model, not a curated record.
UUCAUAUAGAAAUAUUAGUUUUAGUUGUCGAAGUUUUCACGGUGUCGGUUUGUAGUUUUUAGAGUUAUUUUAGGGUCAAAGUUCUUCUAAAGUUUUAAAGGAGUUUGAUACGUCAAAGUUCUGCUCAAAUCAUUUUCAUAAGUAACCGGUUCUGGGCAAACAUCAGAGAAAACGCUCGUGGACUUUCAACAACGAUCAACAACAAAAGGCGACGAGCUAGACCAUUUAGGAGGGAAGACUAUGGAGUGACAGAUUACGAUAAUGUCAAGGCUGAAGGUUGCUAGCGUUUUGUCAAACGCUUAUUACAUCUUUACUAGUACGUAAUAU